GACGUAGGGUGCGAGCGUUGUCCGGAUUUAUUGGGCGUAAAGAGCUCGUAGGCGGUUUGUCGCGUCUGCUGUGAAAACCCGAGGCUCAACCUCGGGCCUGCAGUGGGUACGGGCAGACUAGAGUGCGGUAGGGGAGAUUGGAAUUCCUGGUGUAGCGGUGGAAUGCGCAGAUAUCAGGAGGAACACCAAUGGCGAAGGCAGAUCUCUGGGCCGUAACUGACGCUGAGGAGCGAAAGCAUGGGGAGCGAACGGG
This 253-nucleotide ribosomal RNA is filed under the name uncultured bacterium. RNAcentral's name for it is "partial 16S ribosomal RNA". It matches the Rfam family "Bacterial small subunit ribosomal RNA", at positions 524 to 776 of the family's 1533-position model. The record is from RNAcentral.